AGUGGCGGACGGGUGAGUAACGCGUGAGAAUCUGCCUUGGGGUCGGGGACAACCACUGGAAACGGUGGCUAAUACCGGAUAAGCCGAUUGGUGAAAGAUUUAUUGCCCGAAGAGGAGCUCGCGUCUGAUUAGCUAGUUGGUGAGGUAAGAGCUCACCAAGGCAGCGAUCAGUAGCUGGUCUGAGAGGACGAUCAGCCACACUGGGACUGAGACACGGCCCAGACUCCUACGGGAGGCAGCAGUGGGGAAUUUUCCGCAAUGGGCGAAAGCCUGACGGAGCAAGACCGCGUGAGGGAGGAAGGCUCUUGGGUUGUAAACCUCUUUUCUCAGGGAAGAAGCUCUGACGGUACCUGAGGAAUCAGCCUCGGCUAACUCCGUGCCAGCAGCCGCGGUAAUACGGAGGAGGCAAGCGUUAUCCGGAAUUAUUGGGCGUAAAGCGUCCGCAGGUGGCGAUUCAAGUCUGCUGUCAAAGCACGGGGCUUAACUCCGUAAAGGCAGUGGAAACUGAAUAGCUAGAGUGCCGUAGGGGUAGAGGGAAUCCCCGGUGUAGCGGUGAAAUGCGUAGAGAUCGGGAAGAACAUCGGUGGCGAAAGCGCUCUACUGGACGGCAACUGACACUCAGGGACGAAAGCUAGGGGAGCGAAUGGGAUUAGAUACCCC
RNAcentral lists this ribosomal RNA (660 nucleotides) under uncultured bacterium. Its description in RNAcentral is "bacterial SSU rRNA". It matches the Rfam family "Bacterial small subunit ribosomal RNA", at positions 94 to 788 of the family's 1533-position model. The record is from RNAcentral.